Molecule: transfer RNA, 68 nt
Filed under: Marmota monax (woodchuck)
Lineage: Eukaryota; Metazoa; Chordata; Mammalia; Rodentia; Sciuridae
Description: tRNA.Ser
Source: RNAcentral
GGAUUGUGGCUGAGUGGCAGAGUGCUUGCCUCGAAUGUGUGAGACACUGGGUUCAAUCCUCAGCACCA